RNAcentral lists this ribosomal RNA (253 nucleotides) under uncultured bacterium. Its description in RNAcentral is "partial 16S ribosomal RNA". It matches the Rfam family "Bacterial small subunit ribosomal RNA", at positions 524 to 776 of the family's 1533-position model. The record is from RNAcentral.
UACGAAGGGGGCUAGCGUUGCUCGGAAUCACUGGGCGUAAAGCGCACGUAGGCGGCUUUCUAAGUCAGGGGUGAAAUCCUGGAGCUCAACUCCAGAACUGCCUUUGAUACUGGAGAGCUUGAGUCCGGAAGAGGUGAGUGGAACUCCGAGUGUAGAGGUGAAAUUCGUAGAUAUUCGGAAGAACACCAGUGGCGAAGGCGGCUCACUGGUCCGGUACUGACGCUGAUGUACGAAAGCGUGGGGAGCAAACAGG